RNAcentral lists this ribosomal RNA (496 nucleotides) under uncultured bacterium. RNAcentral describes it as "partial 16S ribosomal RNA". It matches the Rfam family "Bacterial small subunit ribosomal RNA", at positions 28 to 507 of the family's 1533-position model. The record is from RNAcentral.
GAUGAACGCUGGCGGCGUGCCUAAUACAUGCAAGUCGAGCGAACAGAUGAGGAGCUUGCUCCUCUGACGUUAGCGGCGACGGGUGAGUAACACGUGGAUAACCUACCUAUAAGACUGGGAUAACUUCGGGAAACCGGAGCUAAUACCGGAUAAUAUAUUGAACCGCAUGGUUCAAUAGUGAAAGACGGUUUUGCUGUCACUUAUAGAUGGAUCCGCGCCGCAUUAGCUAGUUGGUAAGGUAACGGCUUACCAAGGCAACGAUGCGUAGCCGACCUGAGAGGGUGAUCGGCCACACUGGAACUGAGACACGGUCCAGACUCCUACGGGAGGCAGCAGUAGGGAAUCUUCCGCAAUGGGCGAAAGCCUGACGGAGCAACGCCGCGUGAGUGAUGAAGGUCUUCGGAUCGUAAAACUCUGUUAUUAGGGAAGAACAAAUGUGUAAGUAACUAUGCACGUCUUGACGGUACCUAAUCAGAAAGCCACGGCUAACUACGUG